RNAcentral lists this transfer RNA (70 nucleotides) under Scarites buparius. RNAcentral's name for it is "tRNA-Lys". The record is from RNAcentral. Lineage: Eukaryota; Metazoa; Arthropoda; Insecta; Coleoptera; Carabidae.
CAUUAGAUGACUGAAAGUAAGUACUGGUCUCUUAAACCAAUUAAUAGUAAAUUCACGAUUACUUCUAAUG